Molecule: long non-coding RNA, 232 nt
Filed under: Helianthus annuus (common sunflower)
Lineage: Eukaryota; Viridiplantae; Streptophyta; Magnoliopsida; Asterales; Asteraceae
Description: sRNA HanXRQr2_Chr15g0676501
Source: RNAcentral
GGUUAGAACCCCGUGUAUUACACGGGUUGAAUAAAUAUAAUUUUAUAUAUUAAGUAAUAAAAUAGUAACAUCUUUUAAAAACUCGUGUAUCAAGAUUUGAAUAAACACAUGUCUUACACGAAUAAUGUAAUCCAUUAACACAUUUAAUCAUCAAGAUGUGUUUUCUAACAAAAUGAACUUUGAGAUACUAUUUACUUAUUGUAACAUCUCACUUUAUUUUUUAUUAGGUUAG